GUGUGGCCAUAUGCCUUCAUUUCUCUAUGGCAGCAGUCCCUAACCUUUUUGGCACCGGGGACCGGUUUUGUGGAAGACAACGUUCCACAGAUGGAACUAUUCUACCUCAGAUCAUCAGGCGUUAGUCGGAUUCUCAUAAGGAGCACACAACCUACAUCCCUCCCCUGAACAUUUCAAAAUACGGUUUCUGCUCCUAUGAGAAUCUAAUGCCGCUGCUGAUCUGACAGGAGGCGGAGCUCAGGCAGUAAGGCUCCCGGCCACUCAUCUGCUGUGCGGCCGGGUUCCUAACAGACCACGGACACAUAGCCGUUUGCAGCCGGGAGGUUAGGGACUCCUGCUUACGGUGUAUAUCUAGAAGCAGGCUAAUCGAGCUUUAUCCAUCUUCAAACCCAGUAAUGGCCCAUGGAAUGCUUCUCAUGCCUCAAAUCUCUUUGUCUUCCCAUUCUGCUACCUGACUGUAAAGUUCUCACAUGAACUGUGCCACAAUACACAUAUCAAAGACUUGGAACCAAUCCAAAUGCCCAUCAAUCAUAGACUGGAUAAAGAAAAUAUGGUACGUAUACACCAUGAAAUACUAUGCAGCCAUAAAAAAGGAUGAGUUAAUGUCCUUUGCAGGGAUAUGGAUGAAGCUGGAAACCAUAAUUCUCAGCCAACUAACAGAACAGAAAACCAAACACCACAUAUUCUCACUCAAAAGUGGGAGUUGAACAAUCAGAAUACAUGGACACAGGGAGGGGAACAUCACAAACCGGGGCCUGUCGGGGGGUGGGGGGCUAGGGGAGGGACAGCAUUAGGAGAAAUACCUAAUGUACGUGAAGGGUUGAUAGGUGCAGCAAACCAGCAUGGCACAUGUAUACCUAUGUAACAACACUGCACGUAAUGCACAUGUACCCCAGAACUUAAAGUAUGAUAAAAAGGAGAUUAAAAUAUAUAUAUUUACAAAAAAAUGUGCUCACAUGAUUACAUUUGGUAACAUAAUCUCAAGAGUGAUAUCUCAGCAUGUUCACAAUUCCGAUCCAUACUCAAAGUGGAGAGAGUUGUGCAAGAGCAAACGUCAUUGAGGGCCAUUCCUAUUUAUUUAUUUAUUUGUUUAUUUAUUUAUUUUUGAGAUGGAGUUUCUCUCUUGUUGCCCAGGCUGGAAUGCAUUGGGCGAUCUUGGCUCGCUGCAACCUCUGACUCCCAGGUUCAAGUGAUUCUCCUGCCUCAGCCUCCCGAGUAGCUGGGAUUACAAGCAUGCACCACUAUGCCUGGCUAAUUUUGUGUUUUUAGUAGAGACGGGGUUUCACCAUGUUGGUCAGGCUAGUGUUGAACUCCCGCC
RNAcentral lists this long non-coding RNA (1318 nucleotides) under Homo sapiens (human). Its description in RNAcentral is "HSALNT0205038". Lineage: Eukaryota; Metazoa; Chordata; Mammalia; Primates; Hominidae. The record is from RNAcentral.